RNAcentral lists this ribosomal RNA (388 nucleotides) under uncultured soil bacterium. Its description in RNAcentral is "bacterial SSU rRNA". It matches the Rfam family "Bacterial small subunit ribosomal RNA", at positions 26 to 417 of the family's 1533-position model. The record is from RNAcentral.
AGAUUGAACGCUGGCGGCAUGCCUUACACAUGCAAGUCGAACGGCAGCACGGGAGCAAUCCUGGUGGCGAGUGGCGAACGGGUGAGUAAUACAUCGGAACGUGCCCAAUCGUGGGGGAUAACGCAGCGAAAGCUGUGCUAAUACCGCAUAAGAUCUACGGAUGAAAGCAGGGGAUCGCAAGACCUUGCGCGAAUGGAGCGGCCGAUGGCAGAUUAGGUAGUUGGUGAGGUAAAGGCUCACCAAGCCUUCGAUCUGUAGCUGGUCUGAGAGGACGACCAGCCACACUGGGACUGAGACACGGCCCAGACUCCUACGGGAGGCAGCAGUGGGGAAUUUGGACAAUGGGCGAAAGCCUGAUCCAGCCAUGCCGCGUGCAGGAUGAAGGCCG